Molecule: long non-coding RNA, 8954 nt
Filed under: Salmo salar (Atlantic salmon)
Lineage: Eukaryota; Metazoa; Chordata; Actinopteri; Salmoniformes; Salmonidae
Description: lncRNA (ENSSSAG00000098793.1)
Source: RNAcentral
GUGCAGGCCGCCAAAAAUCAACGGCACGCCUUCGAUUAUAAAGCCGUUUUUCUUUGUUGUCGAAAAUCAAAACGUGUUAGUUUGUAAUUCUCACGAAUCUUGGAGCGAUACCAAAUUCAACUACUUUAAGACAUUGGCUCGAAUUUUGUUUGUGCCUUCAGGUUUCGAGGAAAGGAACAAACUAAGAAAUAAUUGUUAACUUCUCAAACCAAAGGCCCGGAAACUCUGUGCGUAAAUGUUACAUUCUGGCGCAUACCGCUUUUUACUAGCUAGCUGACGGAUGUUUUCAGACAUAUUUUUCAAAAGAUAUGGGAAGUCUUUUUUUUGUCUUGAAUUUCAUUCAAACGUAAUGGAGGCCAAGGGAUUUGCAGUAGUUCACCACCAGUAAAGGUACAGCGUUAACUAGCCUUUCAGGUUAGUACAACUAACUAGUUAGCGCAGCUGCAAACCGUAGUAGCCUAACCUAGCUUGUUAGCUAGCGAAAGAACAUGUGACUAGGUAGAUAGCAAAUGUUCGCUGGAUCUCCAAAUACGAUCUAGGCGUUUGCAGCCACUUAGCUAACUUAUAUUGGGCAAAUGAUAAUAGCUAGUUAUCAAGUUAGCUUGCUCACAUCAGUUUUAUGGUCCAUGUUUUAAUUGAUGCAAAAUGGACGUUAAGCAAGAGGAAAAUGAGCGGGAGCUAUCCCAAACAAUAAUUUGGUCUGAUUCGAUUAAUGCCUGGAUAGAUUACCCAAGUUCUCUAUUGUCAAAAAACACAGAAACAGGUUCCCAUGUGGGUUUACUGAAAGAGCGUACAUGUGUACCUACCGUAAGUCCCCAAACAACAAGUCGAGGGCAGAUUUUACGUAUUUUUCCUGAAAUGACCGGAGCAAGUGAUGGGGAGAACAGGGGUGUCAAAAUUGUUUAUUUCUGCAAAGACCAAGAUACCAUCAGCACAUCUGAAAGGCAUUCGAUCAAAGAGGAGUCAGGACAUGUAUCAACCCUCAGUGAUUCUUUUGAAGCUCAAAUCAACCCAAAGUCACAGGGUUUUAGCCGAAAACAGACCCGGACCAAUAAUGAAUUGCCUGUAGACAAUGUUAAUAUCCAAGGCCAUAGUACUGCCAUUACUUCUGUGCUGACCUCACCUGCUAUAGAAAGUGGCUAUAAUUUAUCUGUAUCUAAUAUUAUUCCAGAAUAUUGUGAGCCAUUGAACUUUCCCUCAGAUGAAGAAGAAGACUACAAUACCAAUUUAAGACGAAGAUUGCAAUGCCAAAAAACGGUUGAGGAUAAAUAUCUAUGGCAGUGCCGUGGCUGUUACUCAAAACCUAACCCCAAAAGAUUUGGGAAAUAUUUGAAAGAUCCAUAUGCUAAGUGCAAGGAAAUAGGAAUAGAUUUCCAUGUUAGAUCUGGAGCGAGACAGAAACUUGAUUUGCAUUUACUGACAAUUGGUGUAAUGAUCGAAGUGUCUGAAUAUGUUAAAAACAUUAAUAGAUCUAACAAGCAUGUUAUCUUUGAUAUUCUAGAUUACAACUUUGAUCUUGGUGUGCAAAAUGAAGUACGAGGUUACUUUUCAAACAAGAUAGAAAGAAAAUUAAAUGACAUGCUGAAGAUGUAUACCAAGAGGAGAAAUCCUGAGUGGUUAAAAGAAGUGUUUGAACUUCCUGAUUCAAAGACAAUGAACGCAUGGGGAAAAUCUCGGUUUGCACGGUCCAAUUUGAAUAACAGCGUGUCAGAAAAUCCUACACCUUUUGACAUCUGCAUAAAGGAGAAGCCUGUUGUGGACCUGAUAGCUCCUCUGCAUGUGACGACUGAGAACCUCUCUACUCAGACAGAUGUAACACGAUGUGCUGAGACAGCAAUCCUUGACCCUGAAAAUGGACCUAAUGAUAUCUGCACAAGGGAUAAGUCAGAUCUGGGCGUCAUCCAUCAUGUCAAGACGGAGACUGUCAGCACUCAGACAGACAUGACAAUGGACCAAUCCUUCAUGAUGCCCACAGUAGAAGAAGCAUUGAGUGAACUCUACCCAAUCUGUAAGGAAAAAGGACUUGACCUUGAUGUGAAAUCAACAUUUGGGAAAAAGGAGAAACUUGACUUGCGUCUAUUGACCAGAGAGGUAAUGAUUGAAUUGGCUGAUUUUACCUCACAAAUGUGUGGAAAUUGGAAGCAGAUGGUCUGUGAUGUUGUUGAGCAUAAUUUUGAUCUGGAUUUAAAAAGUGGGAAAACUGACCUGGCUGAAGAUAUCAUUAAUAGGUUAAGAGCAGCUUUGCAGCCCAAUGUAAAUUUAAAAUUACAUGAUCACCGACUGAGAUGUGAAUUAGAAAAGGAAUACUUUUUCUUGAAGAAUUCGUGCAAACUCAAGAAUGAUACAGAGAUGUCCAGUAACCAGGUAACUACAGCAUCAUUUGAGCCGAAUGAUCAAAUGAAAGAAGUGUCGAAAAGGAGGAGAUUGGAUUUAAUGAAAAAGGAAAAAGAAAUGGACACGUGCGUAGCCAGGGAGACGGAGGGAGUCCGUUUCGAAGUCAGACCAGUAGAAUCUCAUUGUGUCAAGAAGGAGAGAAUCUCUGAUGAGACUGACCUUGCACUUUGUAUUGAUGAAACAAAGCAAAUUGUUGUUACCAACUUGGACCAAUCAAAUGUGACGUCUAACACCAAAAAAGUUGUCAACGCGUGCUACACACGCUGUGAGGAAAUAGGUCUGGACCUUGAUGUUGCAUUCAAACCCUCUAAAAAGAAACUGGAAUUUCAGUUACUGACAAACGGUGUAGUAUUUGAGGUGUAUAAAUAUGCUAAAAUAAAACCCUAUCCCCUAAAAGCAGAAGGAUGGGGGCAUAUUCUCUAUGCUAUUCUAGAAUACAAUUUUGACCUUAGUUUGCAAAAUCAGAGACGAAGUCAAUUUCAAUUUUGGAUUUAUCGUAAAGUGAAAAGAAUGGUUAAAAAACACAGACUUCAACUCACAAGAAGGGACAAACUCUCAAAAGAAUUGUUUGUAAUACCAAAUGUGAUUCAAACCAAAGCAAAAAAAACAGUGCUUUAAGAUUAUUUCCCCGGAAAAAUGUAUGGAACAAGAUGAACAAAAACGAGUUUAUCUUCAUCAUGUUAGACACUAUCGCCAUGGAGACGAUUUGAAACAAUCUCCACUGAUGAAGCAGCAAUGCUUGGCCAGGAUAAAAUGGACCAGACCUUCACUCUGAGAUCAAAGUGGUUUAUUUCUGUGAAGACCAAGAUACCGUCAGAACAUCUGAAGAGCACUUGAUCAUGGCAUGGAUCAACACCCAGUAAUAUUCGGGAAAAAAAUGUAUUCAGCCUCCCACAAGUCACCACUACCGACUGCAGAAAGGAGUUCUUUUGAAAGUCAAAUCAACCCAACUUCACAGAUGUUUUUUAAAAUAUUUUUAUUUCACCUUUAUUUAACCAGGUAGGCAAGUUGAACAAGUUACGUUAUGUAACAAGUUAUGUAACCAGAAGGUCACUACAGCUUCACUUGAGCCAAAGACUGAAAGGAGUAACAGAAAAGAGGAGAUUUAAUGAGGAAAAAUAAAUAAGUUGAUAUGUUUUAUAGCCACGAAGACCAAUGACAUGUAAUGCUAUGAAGUCAGACAAGUAGAACCUCAUUGUGACGAGACAGAGAGCAUCUCUGAUGUUUCAUCCCAGUAGAACCUCAUUGUGACGAGACAGAGAGCAUCUCUGUUGUUUCAUCCCAGUAGAACCUCAUUGUGACGAGACAGAGAGCAUCUCUGUUGUUUCAUCCCAGUAGAACCUCAUUGUGAUGAGUCACAGAGCAUCUCUGGUGUCAGAGGAAGGUCUUAAAAAUUGUCAGACUGUUCUGUCUGCUACCGCACAGCAAGCGGUACCGGAGCGCCAAGUCUGGGACCAAAAGGCUCCUUAACAGCUUCUACCCCCAAGUGAUAAGACUGUUAAACAGUUAAUCAAAUGGCUACCCGGACUAUUUGCAUUGCCCCCCUUUUUUAUGCUGUUGCUACUCGCUGUUUAUAAUCUAUGCGUAGUCAGUUUACCCCUACCUACAUGUACAUAUUACCUCAAUUUACACGACUAACCUGUACACCCGCACAUUGAUUCUGCACCGGUACCCCUUGUAUAUAGUCUCCUUAAUGGUAUUUUAUUGUAUUACUUUUUUAUCUUGCUUUAGUUAUGUUUUUUAAAUAGCAAAUAUUUUCUUAAUUAAUAAAAAAAAUCUGCAUUGUUAGUUAAGAGCUUGUCAGAAAGCAUUUCGCAGUAAGGUCUACACCUGUUGUAUUCGGCGCGUGUGACAAAUAAAAUUGUAUUUGAUUUAACUUAAUCUCCUCUCGGCCAGGAAAUAGAAUGGAGAAAAAUAUUACCGUGACCAGGAAAAGGAGUCUGAUGCAGAUAGAUUAAAGUCAUUGUAAUAUGUUAGGUUGAUUCUUGCCAAACUUUUUAAAUAUUUUGUAGUCGAGACUGGUUCUGAUAAGAAAUUCAAACAAAUCCCAGAAUUACAGAUCAGAUAUCCUAGGGUUUGUGGGUAUUAGAAAAUAUGCAAAACGUCAAGUGCUGUCAGUGUUGCAUUUGUAACCUUUGACAUGUUCAAGAAAACUCGCUCUUUGGAAUGCCUCUGGACAAUGGACAGUGAAAAAGACUUGUGUUGAAAUCAGGGCAGAGAGAACAGGGUUGUAGUCAAAAAGAAGAAGGGCUGUUGAGCAGGUGUGGUAGAGAGAAACACUAAAGCAGUGGAGCUAAAGUCUGGACAGGAUGUAGUCUAACGGUGGAAAAAAUUACACAAACUGGUUGAUGCACACAUUACAAUGACAACAGUUGCAACAAGCUUACUCUGAAUUGACCCAAAGACCAUACUUAGAAUGGUUCCUAAUGGAAGACUAAUUUCCUGUCUCCCUGAAGUCAAUAGACUCACAUUCUAUACCUCACAGAGUCAACAAGCCUACCAGAGAUUCAACUCCAUUGUAUUCAUUAGGAAUACUGUAGCAAAACGUGCAAAUGGUGUACCAAUUAACCUAGUCUUUUUAGUAUUCAGUGAAAUAAUGGGAAAUGUAUGUAUGUAUAUAUGUAUAUGUGUUUGACUUAUUUGGAUUAAGGGUUUAGACUUUGAUUUGUGGAUUGUGUAGAUUCCCUUGGCCUCCUGUUAACACUUGAUGCCUGGUCUUGCUGUAAAGAGACUGAAUACAGCAUGAUUAUUGCUACACUUCAUUUGUUUUCAGCGUUGAACGACGUUUCAAUUGACAAGCCAAACUCCACUACCUUUACAAGCCUCAAUAGAAGAACCUCUGAUCUUCUUUGUUAGAUAUAAGAAGGUAAACAAGGAUAUAUAUAUUUUUUUAAAUAAGACUUGCGUUGGUGAAAGAACCUACUAUGAUGGAGCAUGUUUUUCUUUUAGAAAAUAUAUUUGGAACUUUUCCGGGGUUUUUUCUAGCAAGAUUAAGAGACCGUACAUCAAGACUUGCUUUACUGAAACCAGUACUUCCUGUUUUGAACAUGAAGUUAUUCUACCAUCAACUGUGAAGUGGAAGUGUUUUGUUUGUUUUGAAGAGGACACUUUCACUAACGUUCUUAGCUGUUUCUCGGGACACCUGUGAGCCUCGGAUAAAAAGGUGAUGUGUGUUUGCAGUCUUAUCCCUUUUCUACUGUUUCAACUCUUCACAAAUGAAAACAUCUAAUCGCCAAAGGUUGACGCCAAUAAAGUCUCUCUGCUGGUGACGACGAGGUGGCCUCUACUAGUGAAGACGAGGUGGCCUCUCUACUAGUGAUGACGAGGUGGACUCUCUACUAGUGAUGACGAGGUGGACUCUCUACUAGUGAUGACGAGUCGGACUCUCUACUAGUGAUGACGAGGUGGACUCUCUACUGGUGAAGACGAGGUGGCCUCUCUACUAGUGAUGACGAGGUGGACUCUCUGCUGGUGAAGACGAGGUGGCCUCUCUACUAGUGAUGACGAGGUGGACUCUCUGCUGGUGAAGACGAGGUGGCCUCUCUACUAGUGACGACGAGGUGGCCUCUCUGCUGGUGACGACGAGGUGGCCUCUCUGCUGGUGACGACGAGGUGGCCUCUCUGCUGGUGACGACGAGGUGGACUCUCUACUGGUGAGUUCCUGACAUUUUGUGGGUGGAGGUUUUUCAUGUUCACUGUAGACUUCUAUCAACAUGGACCGACUAGGGAGAAUAACUGCAUCUACACAACUGUCUUCCUUAACUAGCUGCUUUUAGCAACGCUAGAAUUUUAUGUGCACGCUAGCAUUGCUGGGAAUUAUUUAGCAAAAAACCUGAAUAGUCCGCCGGAAUUCCACAAGUUAAAUAAAAUUAAGUUUCAAUUUAUUCUGUCGAUUGUCUGUAGUCUUGGUCCUUAUGCAAGGGGGGAUGGGGGGGGGGGGAAUUUAACGUAGAAUUAAACCGAAUUUUCAAACGUGGGUUUGAAUUUUAUUUAGCUUCCGGCGGACUAUUACGUUUUUUUUGCAAACUAAUUCCUAAAUACUUACUAAAAUCAGCUACUGUAAAACAUUUUCAUGAGGCACUUAUUUUUUGUCCUUCUCUAAAUGUAACCUUUAUUUUACCAGGGCGGGUCAAUUAAGAACAAAUGAUUGUGUACAAUGACGGACUGGUAAGAGGUAGAAGGCCUCCAGUGGGACAGGAAGUGGUUGAUUUUAAAUCAGUUUUCCUUUUGAUAUUGUUUAUUUUAACACAGAUUUAGCAGAUUUUCAGGCUAACUACCAAGCCAGACACAGAACUAUUAAUAGUAAUAAUAAUACAAAUGUAUUUAUAAAUACAUUUCCCAUGCUCAAUAAGCAUGUUAUUUGUCUUUCCAUUUGUGUCUCAACUUAAGAUACCAUAUAGUUGGGCUGAAUGGUUCUGUCUUCAUCCAGGUGUCUAACAGUACCUGAAAGGAAUCACAAUCCUCAAACACAUCAAAACACUUCUCGGGCAGACUUGAAAAUCCAGGCUAGCAUUCACUUGUCAUAAAGAAGACCUUGUUGUCAUAGAGAUGGCCUUGUUGUCAUAGAGAUGGCCUUGUUGUCAUAGAGAUGGCCUUGUUGUCAUAGAGAUGGCCUUGUUGUCAGGAUUUCCAUACAAGGUUUUUUCACUCAUUGUGAAUUUGUACCAAAACAAUUAAUUCCUUUAUAUCCUUCAGGUGACAAAUUAAAUCAUUAUUUUAAUCACAAGUGUCUUUUUUGUUGUUUUGUUACCUCCAGAAACUUGAUUGCCACUGUGGAUGUAUAAUUUGUCUCCUCAUUUUAUUGACAGAUCCUCUAUUUCCAUACAAGAUGGACAUGAAGUCUGUCUCCAUCUUCAACCUGUGGAUUUGCUCUGAGGAUGUUGGACACCACCGUUGCACCUUCAGCCACACUAAUUUCCUGUCAGACUGGUUGUCUUUGAACUCCAUGCCAUGGACUGACUAAUCUGAACAUUUACUACAACAGGAAUACAAAUGUUCAUCAGACUCACCACACACGGUGGACAGACUACUCUCUAACUGGUUGUGAGGUUACAGGAAAUAGACUGAUCUGUUAUGAGGGACUGCCAGGUUGUGUAACAGAAUAAUACAGCCAGCUCAUCUUCAUUUCUCUUCUGUUAGGCCUUCUGACAUGUUGGUCUCUGUUGUUGGAACUGUCAGUCUUUGUUCUGGGCUUCAGUUUUCAUCAUGGUGGAUGCAGAAUUGUAAUCCUGAUUAGAUUAUGGUUAUAAAGACUUCAGGAUGUAGCCAGUACAUUGAAGUCCACUCUCUAGAUAAUAUAAAAGUCCUGGGAGAGGGACCGUGCUUCCAGGAGAAGGAUAACAGGACCUUGUCCAGAGACAACCCCCAGCCCUUAACCUCCAAGGGACUUGUGUACAGGGAGUUUAAUACAGAGAAUGUAAUACAAUAUUUGAUACGAUCAGGGAAUUUGACAUACAGUAUGGAUUACGUUUUGAAAAUUCAAUGAUCAUUACAUUUAUUUUUUUGUCAUUUUUUCCCCCCACAUUUUAUUGCACUGUAAGUGUUUGGCAGUUCUCAUGGAAACGUGGAAUUUUUUAACGUGUCUUAAGAGUGGAAACCCUAGAAAUGUACCCUCUGAUAGGCUAGAUCGAAUAAUUUCAGAUCUGUGAACAUUUCGUCUUUCAGAGGGCAUGUUUUACCUGAUUAUACCACAGUCUUUGAGUUUUACAUGAAUUCUAGUCUUAUCAACAAAAAAACACCACAUCCGGAAUGGGCGCCAGAUUUGUUUUGGGAAAAACGUUUUAAUUUUGUAAAAUAAAAAAUCCUGUAAUUCUACACAUUUUGCCAUGUUUUUAUGACGUGUUCAAAGUCUGAUUUGUAUUGUAUUCUUUGGGUUGGGGGGCCCCCUGGAGGUCAGGCAAGCGCCCUGCAUGUCCGGUCAGUAAUCCUGCUCUACUCCUGUGUCGGGUUCACAAACUUUUUCUGCAAACAAUUCCAAAUUGACACUAGAAAAUGGAGGGGACCCUACUUGGAGAAAUUAUAAUCCCAAAUUAACACUUCAGAUUCACAGCUUUAGGUACCUCAGGCUGUCCCAACAACAAUAAUGAUAUGAAAAAGCGCAUUCCAAUAGUGUAAAAAAGCAUUAAGGUCCCGAUUCAAUCAGAUCCGCACGUCGUCGGAGCUGUCAAAUCCACAAGUGCUGCACGGAGUUGCAUUAGCGUAUAUGCACCUAAAUAUUUUUGCUCUGCGACCUGGAAUUUUAAUUUUACGAGAAGAAGAAAAAAAAAUCGCCCAGAUAAUUGUUGCAAUGGUUCCUUCACUACGGAAGCCCCUAAAUGUGGGGGACACACUGAGCACAGGUUCAUGACCGUCAUACUUGCACCAUUACUACAAAGAAAACGGCUUGUUAUCAACAACAACCACAAAAUUGUGCUCCUACUUUUUCCCUUGUAAAAAAAAAAGGUAGAGGACUGCCUUGUUUACGUGUUCAAACACUGGAAUGUGAGAUGUAAUCCUAUACCCUGAUUAAAAUGAUAGAACACCUAAUUCUUUAAUGGUUUUUCAAUCUGAGUGUAAUUAUU